UUUAUCCUUGUCUUUGGGGAGCAUAGUGUUCAAUGACCGUAUAGUGAGGGCACUGAUGCUGACACCAUAAACAAAAUAUAUCCGCAUCCGUUGGUUGCUCUACAAUGACUUCAACGGGAUGCAAUUUUUGAAAGC
Diprion similis is the source of this 135-nucleotide small nuclear RNA. RefSeq annotates it as U4atac minor spliceosomal RNA. NCBI's taxonomy places the organism in Eukaryota, Metazoa, Arthropoda, Insecta, Hymenoptera, Diprionidae. The transcript has a single exon. The record is from RefSeq and is a predicted model, not a curated record.